This 3524-nucleotide long non-coding RNA is filed under the name Olea europaea subsp. europaea. The record is from RNAcentral. Lineage: Eukaryota; Viridiplantae; Streptophyta; Magnoliopsida; Lamiales; Oleaceae.
CGAGAAACGCACAAGUCAAGUAUCACUACUAUUGAGUAAUAAUUCAGUAAAAGGAGAUAUAACUUCAUCAAUCCGUAUGUCAAAGAAAAGAGCGCAGAAAAUUAUGUACUGUCUAGAGUAAAAUAUAGAAUAACAGAAUUAAAAGAUGAACAAGGACCUUCAGAUCAAUAACAGGAUGUAAUACUUUCCAUUUCUUCGCCAUCCGAUUUGGAGGUUGAGAUUUACAUAAUGAGAACUCAGUAUCCAAAGCACUUAUAGAAUAAAAUUGAAUCACUUGGAUCAUAGUUCUCUGCCAGCCCUCUUGGUGUAAACUGAAGUAUUCUUGGUUUACAGUUAUGUAUUUCGCUUUCCAAAUGAAAAUGAAACUAAAUUCCUCGAGAAGGAAACAAAUAAAAUGAAAUUUAUUGUUAUGUUUGUCCUAUCUCAAUCUCAUCUAGCCAUGAAACAACUUCAUCAAUGGAUGGUCGUCUUCUAGGAUCCUGGUUUAUGCAUUUACAAGCUAUACUGAGCACUUCCAUAAGUUGUUUUUCACAAUCUUUAUCUAUUGAUGAAUCGAAUAUAUCCUCCUCCCUCUUCUCAGACUUCUUCUGAAACACCCAUGUCACCAAAUCCCUGCAAUUCUUUCCCUUGCAAACUUCAACAGGUCGCCUUCCGGUAAGAAGCUCAAGAAGAACAACUCCGAAACUGUAAACAUCACCUCUGAACGUUGCUGUUAAUGUCUGACUGUAUUCAGGCGGAAUAUAUCCCAAGGUGCCAACCAAAUCUGUUGUUACAUGAGUAUCAUAGGGACAAAGUAAUCUUGAGAGCCCGAAAUCAGCCAAAUGAGCUUCAAAUCUCUCAUCCAAAAGAAUAUUGCUGGUUUUGAUGUCUCGAUGAAUUAUAUUUGGCUCCUUGUGCAAAUAAGCUAAUCCACAGGCCGCCCCUCGAGCUAUUUUCAACCUGGUAUCCCACCUGAGGAAUGAACUCCCAUCAACUCUUUCAUGUAACCAAUAAUCCAAGCUUCCAUUUUCCAUAUAGGAAUAAAUUAACAACCUGUCGUUCCCGUAUCGACAGUAUCCUUGAAGAGAAACAAGGUUCUUGUGCUGAGCUCUAGAAAGGGCUUCGACUUCAGCUUGAAAUUCACGUUCCAUCUGCCCACAAUCCCCAGAAAGCCUCUUGAUUGCAGCUUUCAAACCAUUAGGUAGGUCUGCCUUAUAAACCAGACCAAAUCCUCCACAGCCAAUAAUGUUUGAUUGGUUGAAGCUGUUGGUUGACUUCAGUAAGUCUGCGAUAGUAAGAUCCUUACAGUCUGCAUUCUUAAAGAGCACCAGCUUAGGAGGUCCAAAUGCUUCAGACAACCUCGGUGGCCUGCUGAUUUCAUCAUCCAAAUCUUCAAUUGGUACUCCAGUGUCUCUUCUCGAUAUCCUAAGCAGAAGAAUGGCCAGGAGUAAAGCAAUUCCAACGCCAAUGCUGAUUGUUAUUCCAAGUAUGCUGCUCCAACCAAAUUUCUUACGUGCAGUAGGUGGGCUUGUCGUUCGGAACCCAACAUUAUUGGCAAUGCAAGGAGAAAUUAUUUUUCCACAAAGUCCAGGAUUACCCUCAAAGCUUGAGCUGGGAAAGCUAAGGAAUUGGCCCCCCGUUGGAAUUGCUCCGUCGAGAUGAUUAUUAGCAACACUGAACUUUGAGAGGAAAGUGAGCUGAUUAAAUGAUGAAGGAAUUGAUCCAUGAAGAUCAUUGUAUGAAAGAUCCAAAGUCUCCAGGUUUGUCAUAUUCGAAAUGGAGUUAGGGAUGGUUCCAGUUAUGUUAUUCCUGCUCAAGUCCAAGACAUGGAGCUGUCUCAAAUGUCCAAUUUCCGGCCAAAUUGAGCCAUUUAGUUUAUUAUUGCUCAGCAAUAUAGAUGGAGGGAAACUUGAAGCUUGAUUGUACUGCAAACCACUGGCACUCUGAUUUCUCUUUACGAAAAGAGGGAUGCCAGUGGAGGCAUUAAGAGUGGAUGAACAGCUAUUGGCAGACAUAAGGCUCUUCAGCUCAGUCAAACCUUUCGGGAUUUCUCCUGUUAGCGAAUUAUUUGAAAAAUCCAGGUAGAACAAAUUCUCCAUCCAACCAAUCUGGGAAGGGAUACUGCCAUCCAAACGAUUCCAGGACAAGUCAAGGAUUCGCAAUUUUGUGCAACUCCACAACCAAUCUGGUAUUUGACCAUUCAGGCCACAAUUUCCAAGUGCAAAAAGCAUUAAGCUCUCAAACCCACUCACAUUUUUGGGAAUUUCUUCCCCAUGGAAAUUCUUAGUGAGAAUAAGAAUGCUAAGAUUUCUGCAAUGCUUCAAAACGGACAACCCUCCAGAUAAGUUUACAAGGCUGUUGUUUGACAACGAGAGAAACGUAAGAGAUGUGAGAUUGGCAUAGCUUUCAGGGAUCUGGCCUGUUAACUUGUUCUUGGCAAGACUCAAAAUCUUUAAUUCCCGGCAACUAGAUAAUGAUUCUGGCAAGGGACUAGAAAAACGAUUACUUGCAAGAUCAAGAUUAUAGAGAUUAGGCAAUCUAGUGAAAUCAAGAUCAAUUGCACCAGAAAGAGUGUUGUUCCGCAAAUCAAGCACUCGUAAUUUAGUGCAGAGUGCCAGAGUUGAAGGCAGUGGUCCAGAGAAUGAAUUUGAAUGAGCAACUAACUGCUCGAGUUGAGUUAAAUUCCCAAAAACAUUAGGAAAAGAACCAUAAAAUCCGUUCCUGCAUAGAAAGAAGGCUUUGAGGUUGGAAAGCUUACUGAGUUUAUGGCUUAGCAGGCCAGAGAAAUUAUUGGCUGAGAGUGAAAGCUGCUCCAGGGAGGAUAACAAGUACAAGGAGUCUGGAAGUUGGCCUGAAAGAGUAUUGAAAUCCACAUGGAACUGCUGGAGAGAUGUGCUACUGCAAGUCUCCAAGCCUUCAAGUUUACCAUAAAAAUGAUUUGAUGAUAAAUCCAGAACUUGAAUGUUGGGGGAGAAACUGCAGAUUUUGGAGCCAAAUUCACCAGUAAACAUGUUGUUACUUAUGUUGAAUGCAAUGAGACUUGGAAACACCCCAAGAUCAGUGAAGUUUCCAGUGAAAGAAUUGCUCGAGAGGUUGACUGACUGAAUCCUUUUCAACCCCACAAGAGCUCCCAGUAUUGGUCCAGACAACAUGUUGUGGCUUAAAUCAAGAACUUCCAGCUGCUUCAAAUUAGAGAUAUUNNNNNNNNNNNNNUGACUUAGCUGGCCAGAGAAAUCAUUGGCAGAGACUGAAAGCUGCUCCAGGGAUGAUAACGAGUAUAAGGAGUCAGGAAGUUGGCCAGAAAGAGAAUUGAAAUCCACGUGGAACUGCCGGAGAGAUGUGCUGCUGCAAGUUUCCAAGCCUUCAAGUGCACCAAAAAAAUGAUUCGAAGAUAAAUCCAGAACCCGAAUAUCCUGGGAGAAACUGCAAAUUUUGGAACCGAAUUCACCAGUAAACAAGUUGUUACUCAUGUUGAACUCAGUAAGAUAUGGAAACUCCCCAAGAUCAGUGAAGUUUCCAAUGAAAGAAUUGCUUGAGAGGUUGAC